UAGGGAAUAUUGGGCAAUGGAAGGAAUUCUGACCCAGCCAUGCCGCGUGCAGGAAUACAGUCCUAUGGACUUUAAACUGCUUUUAUUAUAGAGUAAUCUGGGGGACGAGUCCCCCACUGCAAGUAUAUAAUGAAUAAGCAUCGGCUAACUCCGUGCCAGCAGCCGCGGUAAUACGGGGGAUGCAAGCGUUAUCCGGAUUUAUUGGGUUUAAAGGGUGCGCAGGCGGAUCGGUAAGUCAUGGGUGAAAAGUCACUGCUUAACAGUGAUCGUGCCUAUGAUACUGCCGGACUAGAGUUUAAGAGGUGUAACUGGAAUGUGAUGUGUAGCGGUGAAAUGCUUAGAUAUGUCACAGAACGCCAAUCGUGAAGACAGGUUACAAACUUAAUACUGACGCUCAUGCACGAAAGCGUGGGGAUCAAACA
RNAcentral lists this ribosomal RNA (422 nucleotides) under uncultured prokaryote. RNAcentral describes it as "bacterial SSU rRNA". It matches the Rfam family "Bacterial small subunit ribosomal RNA", at positions 355 to 774 of the family's 1533-position model. The record is from RNAcentral.